RNAcentral lists this ribosomal RNA (291 nucleotides) under uncultured bacterium. Its description in RNAcentral is "partial 16S ribosomal RNA". It matches the Rfam family "Bacterial small subunit ribosomal RNA", at positions 358 to 643 of the family's 1533-position model. The record is from RNAcentral.
GGGAAAUGGAAAUGGGCGAAGCCUGAUCCAGCCAUGCCGCGUGUGUGAAGAAGGUCUUCGGAUUGUAAAGCACUUUAAGUUGGGAGGAAGGGCAGUAAGUUAAUACCUUGCUGUUUUGACGUUACCAACACGAAUAAGCACCGGCUAACUUCGUGCCAGCAGCCGCGGUAAUACGAAGGGUGCAAGCGUUAAUCGGAAUUACUGGGCGUAAAGCGCGCGUAGGUGGUUCAGCAAGUUGGAGGUGAAAUCCCCGGGCUCNACCUGGGAACUGCCUCCNAAACUACUGAGCUA